RNAcentral lists this transfer RNA (77 nucleotides) under Salmonella enterica. RNAcentral describes it as "tRNA-Ile". It matches the Rfam family "tRNA". From Rfam's summary of the family: Transfer RNA (tRNA) molecules are approximately 80 nucleotides in length. Their secondary structure includes four short double-helical elements and three loops (D, anti-codon, and T loops). Further hydrogen bonds mediate the characteristic L-shaped molecular structure. tRNAs have two regions of fundamental functional importance: the anti-codon, which is responsible for specific mRNA codon recognition, and the 3' end, to which the tRNAs corresponding amino acid is attached (by aminoacyl-tRNA synthetases). tRNAs cope with the degeneracy of the genetic code in two manners: having more than one tRNA (with a specific anti-codon) for a particular amino acid; and 'wobble' base-pairing, i.e. permitting non-standard base-pairing at the 3rd anti-codon position. Lineage: Bacteria; Pseudomonadati; Pseudomonadota; Gammaproteobacteria; Enterobacterales; Enterobacteriaceae. The record is from RNAcentral.
GGCCCUUUAGCUCAGUUGGUUAGAGCGUGCGACUCAUAAUCGCUUGGUCACUGGUUCAAAUCCAGUAGGGGCCACCA